This 858-nucleotide ribosomal RNA is filed under the name Lactobacillus delbrueckii subsp. bulgaricus. RNAcentral's name for it is "partial 23S ribosomal RNA". It matches the Rfam family "Bacterial large subunit ribosomal RNA", at positions 398 to 1261 of the family's 2925-position model. The record is from RNAcentral. Lineage: Bacteria; Bacillati; Bacillota; Bacilli; Lactobacillales; Lactobacillaceae.
UAUCAGUAUCCUGAGUAGGGCGGGACACGUGAAAUCCCGUUUGAAUCCGCGAGGACCAUCUCGCAAGGCUAAAUACUAACCAGUGACCGAUAGUGAACCAGUACCGUGAGGGAAAGGUGAAAAGAACCCCGGGAGGGGAGUGAAAGAGAACCUGAAACCGUGUGCCUACAAGUAGUCAGAGCCCGUUAACGGGUAAUGGCGUGCCUUUUGUAGAAUGAACCGGCGAGUUGCGUUAGUCAGCAAGGUUAAGUCAGAAAAGACGGAGCCGUAGCGAAAGCGAGUCUGAAGAGGGCGAGCAGUUGGCUGACGCAGACCCGAAACCAAGUGACCUACCCAUGACCAGGUUGAAGGCGCGGUAAAACGCGCUGGAGGACCGAACCCACGUAAGUUGAAAAUUGCGGGGAUGAGUUGUGGGUAGCGGUGAAAUUCCAAACGAACUUGGAGAUAGCUGGUUCUCUCCGAAAUAGCUUUAGGGCUAGCCUCGCAAAGAGGAUGCUGGAGGUAGAGCUCUGUUUGGACUAGGGGCCCGUCAAGGGUUACUGAAUUCAGAUAAACUGCGAAUUCCAGACAUUUAUGUGCGGGAGUCAGACUGCGAGUGAUAAGAUCCGUAGUCGAAAGGGAAACAGCCCAGAUCACCAGUUAAGGUCCCAAAAUUCAUGCUAAGUGGAAAAGGAUGUGGAGUUGCGCAGACAACUAGGACGUUGGCUCAGAAGCAGCCAUCAUUCAAAGAGUGCGUAAUAGCUCACUAGUCGAGUGACGCCGCGCCGAAAAUUUACCGGGGCUAAGCAUGAUACCGAAACUGUGGAUGUGCGUUUAUGCACGUGGUAGGAGAGCGUUCUAGCGGCGGUGAAGCAUGAC